UCCGUAGGGUGCGAGCGUUAAUCGGAAUUACUGGGCGUAAAGCGUGCGCAGGCGGUUUUGUAAGCCCGGUGUGAAAUCCCCGGGCUCAACCUGGGAAUGGCAUUUGGGACUGCAAGGCUGGAGUGUGGCAGAGGAGACUGGAAUUCCUGGUGUAGCAGUGAAAUGCGUAGAUAUCAGGAGGAAUACCGAUGGCGAAGGCAGGUCUCUGGGCUGACACUGACGCUCAUGCACGAAAGCGUGGGGAGCAAACAGG
This 253-nucleotide ribosomal RNA is filed under the name uncultured bacterium. Its description in RNAcentral is "partial 16S ribosomal RNA". It matches the Rfam family "Bacterial small subunit ribosomal RNA", at positions 524 to 776 of the family's 1533-position model. The record is from RNAcentral.